GUAAAGUUCUUUUAUUAAAGAAGAAAAAAUGAUGGAAAAAUCAUUCUGACGGUAUUUAAUGAAUAAGCCCCGGCUAACUAUGUGCCAGCAGCUGCGGUAAUACAUGGGGGGCAAGCGUUAUCCGGAUUUAUUGGGCGUAAAGGGUGUGUAGGCGGUUUGAUAAGUCUAUGGUAUAAGUUCAACGCUUAACGUUGUGAUGCUAUGGAAACUGUUUGACUAGAGUUGGAUAGAGGCAAGUGGAAUUCCAUGUGUAGCGGUAAAAUGCGUAAAUAUAUGGAGGAACACCAGUAGCGAAGGCGGCUUGCUGGGUCUUAACUGACGCUGAGGCACAAAAGCGUGGGGAGCAAACAGGAUUAGAUACCCUGGUAGUCCACGCCGUAAACGAUGAGUACUAAGUGUUGGGUUAAACCAGUGCUGAAGUUAACACACUAAGUACUCCGCCUGAGUAGUACGUACGCAAGUAUGAAACUUAAAGGAAUUGACGGGACUCCGCACAAGCGGUGGAUCAUGUUGUUUAAUUCGAAGAUACACGAAAAACCUUACCAGGUCUUGACAUACUCUGCAAAGCUAUAGAAAUAUAGUGGAGGUUAUCAGGGAUACAGGUGGUGCAUGGUUGUCGUCAGCUCGUGUCGUGAGAUGUUGGGUUAAGUCCCGCAACGAGCGCAACCCUUAUCGCUAGUUACCAUCAUUUAGUUGGGCACUUUAGUGAGACUGCCAAUGAUAAAUUGGAGGAAGGUGGGGAUUACGUCAAAUCAUCAUGCCCCUUAUGACCUGGGCUACAAACGUGAUACAAUGGCUGUUCAAAGGGUG
This 810-nucleotide ribosomal RNA is filed under the name Ribes rubrum phytoplasma. RNAcentral's name for it is "bacterial SSU rRNA". It matches the Rfam family "Bacterial small subunit ribosomal RNA", at positions 425 to 1248 of the family's 1533-position model. The record is from RNAcentral. Lineage: Bacteria; Bacillati; Mycoplasmatota; Mollicutes; Acholeplasmatales; Acholeplasmataceae.